Non-coding RNA from Sturnus vulgaris (Common starling), 624 nucleotides. Lineage: Eukaryota; Metazoa; Chordata; Aves; Passeriformes; Sturnidae. The record is from RefSeq and is a predicted model, not a curated record.
GGCAGCCGCCCUCCUUGCCCAGCGGCGCACCUGCCCUGCCCGCCCCUACCUUGUUGAGGUACUGGAGCAGAGAUUCCCCUGCAGCCUAUGGUGCAGAUGAUGGUGAGGCAGCUGUCCCUCAAUGGAUAUCCACUGUGGAGCAGAUAUCCCAUGGAGGACCUCACCGUGGAGCAGGGGGAUGCCUGCAGGAUGCUGUGACCCUGUGGGAAGCCUGUGCUGGAGCAGGUUCCUGGCCUGCAGCCCAUGGGGAGGAUCCACGUUGGAGAAGUUCUUGAAGGACUGUCUCCUGUGGGAGAGACCCCAUGCCGGAGCAGGGGAAGAGCGUGAGAAAUCCUCCCCUGAGGAGGAAGGACUGGCAGAAGCACGUGAGGAACUGACCAAAACCCCUUCUCCCCAUCCCCUUGUUCUACUGGAGGUGAGUAGAUGGAGAAUUCACAAAUAAACACGAGCCUGGCAAGAUGGAAGUGUGGAGGGAAGGUCAGCUGUUAUCCAGAAUGUGUUUUCCAUUUUCUCAUACUGAACUUCUUUGAUACUCUGCACCCUCUUUAUUGCCAUUCCCUUGAUUUAUUUUAUCAUUUCUGUCAUGGAUGAAGAAAAUUACACAUCAUAUUCAAGAUGUGGGAC